Astatotilapia calliptera (eastern happy) is the source of this 1448-nucleotide long non-coding RNA. NCBI's taxonomy places the organism in Eukaryota, Metazoa, Chordata, Actinopteri, Cichliformes, Cichlidae. The record is from Ensembl.
CCGUGCUAGGGGCUGCAGGGCACUAACGCAUUAGCUAACUGUGCUAACACGUUGACACCGUGCAGCCCUCGCACGGGGCGAUCCGCGUUAACUCGCUAACAGAGAUUUGCCGCGUUAAUGCAGUUAUGGCAUUAACGCUGUUUUAAUGAGAUUAACACUGACAGCACUAUUCUUUAAAUUAAUACAAAAUAAUUUUUAUCUGAGUGUUACUGAUAUUGAAAUGCCACAUAAUACAUUUGUUGACAUAACAUUGAAGUGAGUUUGCUCGUUAAGGCCCGACCCUCAUUACAGGUAAAAGGGUAGGGAUAUUUUCACUGUUUCUGUUGUUAUUCUCUUGCAACGAGACACUUUGAAGCACAACGGUCAUCAACAUUGCAUGGAGGCAAACUUCUCUGGCCUGCUGAUGAAUUCACUGAACUUAGAGAGGGGUUUUACCUUCCUCAGGCCUGAGUAUCUAUCCCCUCAAGACAAUAUUGCACAGACACCACGAAGGCAAUAUUUGGCCCAUUCCAUCACUCUAAUUCACUCCCUCCACAUCCAUAUUUCAUUCAGCCUCGGCUUUAAUGAAAGUCAUGGCAACUUCACCACCACUGGAGUCUCCCUGCACACACAUUGAACAAAAAAAAGAAAAGAAAAAAUCAUAAAUAAGGACACUGGCCUUCAUACAAAACAAUAUAAGAGUGACUGGGGCCCGAAAGUUGGGUGGAGAAAGACGAAGAUGAAGUGGGGAGGGGGAUUCAGCUGCAUUGUAGUUGCCUAGAAGAAUCUGGCUAUCUCCCAUCCCCAGCCCUACUUUUCCUCCAUCUGACAACCCCUCCUUCUACCACGUAGACAAGUGCCUGUUUAUCCCAGUGCCCUUCAGAAGACAUUAACACAGGUCUCAUGUGCAGCCCUGUUAUCUUCCACUGGCCUGAAUAUGCUUAGAUUUUAAGUAGGGUUUGCUGUGUUGACUUGGGCAUCUAUAUCCCAAGGAAGUGAAGAUGACAUCCUCACUAAAAGGCUGCGGGGAUACUGGGCUGGGUGGCACAGCAGUUACAUGCAUAUGCAUUGCAUUUACAUAGCCCCGUCCAGCUGGAUACGGCGCUGCAUUACCUAGAAGAGCAAAGGGGAAUGUUUUAGGUUGCUAAUGCUAUGAAAAGUAAAAUUCAGCAUUUUUUUAAAAUCCUCCUGCAACUUACUGCAUUUACAAAAUAGGUACUUUAAAAAUACAGGUGCCUUUAUCCAUUGUUUGUCUCCAUUUUUUCCUCAAAUAUCACUGUGGUUUACCACUAAAGAAAGAAAAAAAAAAACAGUCCAGUUAAUUUCUGCUAAUAUGGCCACUUAUCAUCUUAUGUUAUGGUAAUCCUAUUUUGUAAGUAGGUCCAAACAUGCAAUACACAAGCACGGUAUUGAUCUUAUUGUCUAGCUUUAACCAACAAAGUAAACGCCAUGACAGCAAAAUGUCAAAC